CGUGUGUGUGAAGAAGGCCUUCGGGUUGUAAAGCACUUUCAAUGGGGAAGAAUUUGACAUCGCUAAUAUCGAUGUCAAUUGACGUUACCCAUAAAAGAAGCACCGGCUAACUCCGUGCCAGCAGCCGCGGUAAUACGGAGGGUGCAAGCGUUAAUCGGAAUUACUGGGCGUAAAGCGUACGUAGGUGGUUUAUUAAGUCAGGUGUGAAAUCCCUGAGCUCAACUUAGGAACUGCAUUUGAAACUGGUAAACUAGAGUUUCGUAGAGGGGGGUAGAAUUCCAGGUGUAGCGGUGAAAUGCGUAGAGAUCUGGAGGAAUACCGGUGGCGAAGGCGACCCCCUAGACGAAAACUGACACUCAGGUACGAAAGCAUGGGGAGCAAACAGGAUUAGAUACCCUGGUAGUCCAUGCCGUAAACGAUGUCGAUUUGAAGGUUGUAGACUUUGAGCUGUGGCUUUCGGAGCUAACGCGUUAAAUCGACCGCCUGGGGAGUACGACCGCAAGGUUAAAACUCAAAUGAAUUGACGGGGGCCCGCACAAGCGGUGGAGCAUGUGGUUUAAUUCGAUGCAACACGAAGAACCUUACCUACUCUUGACAUCCAAAGAAUCACAUAGAAAUAUGAGAGUGCCUUCGGGAACUUUGAGACAGGUGCUGCAUGGCUGUCGUCAGCUCGUGUUGUGAAAUGUUGGGUUAAGUCCCGCAACGAGCGCAACCCUUAUCCUUUGUUGCCAACGAGUAAAGUCGGGAACUCAAAGGAGACUGCCGGUGAUAAACCGGAGGAAGGUGAGGAUGACGUCAAGUCAUCAUGGCCCUUAUGAG
Molecule: ribosomal RNA, 819 nt
Filed under: Blochmannia endosymbiont of Camponotus hyatti
Lineage: Bacteria; Pseudomonadati; Pseudomonadota; Gammaproteobacteria; Enterobacterales; Enterobacteriaceae
Description: bacterial SSU rRNA
Rfam family: Bacterial small subunit ribosomal RNA
Source: RNAcentral